RNA transcript from Caenorhabditis elegans, 630 nucleotides. It is a transcript of the gene named Non-coding transcript of protein-coding gene T12D8.5b, with no coding region annotated. The transcript has 3 exons. Lineage: Eukaryota; Metazoa; Nematoda; Chromadorea; Rhabditida; Rhabditidae. The record is from RefSeq and is marked reviewed.
CCUGCCUAUAGUCUGAUUUCUGUGAUGAUUAAGUGUCCGGUGUUUGCAUAGAUUUACGCGUUUCUAAUUUUACUUUCUAAUUACAUGUAUUUUGACAGUAGACACGAGGCAGGCAAGCAUUUUCAUGCCUACACUGAGAGACCUACUUUUUCAUACUGUUUUCAACUUGGAAAGUUCUUCGGGGUUUUAAAUGCUAAAACUUAAUUCGUGUCGUUUUUCAGAAUGAAAUUCCUUCUCGCAGUUUUUCUGCUAGCCGUAUGUAGCCUCGGAGAGUCGAAAAAACCAAAGGCACAGAAGGUUAUCUACGUGCAGAAGGUGGUGCCGCCCCAGAAGCAGCUCUCCGAAUACGACCUCUGCAAGGAGCAAUGCCGAAUCGAAAGCGAGACGCAAUCCAACAAAGAACGCGUCGAGCUUUUGAAACAGGAGAUCGACCGAGCUGAGCAGUUGCUCGCCGAGCACAAUAAACACGUGGAUGCUCCGGAAAUCGCACCCGAAACGUACAUGGAAGCUGGUCAGGUUCCGCCAAUGCGUAAGGCUAGCCGUUACGAUCAUUUGAAAAUGGCAGCCAACAAAAUUGUCGAGUCGACGAGUGAGCUGAAAAAUGCGGUGACAGGUGGAGGGGAUAAUUGA